RNAcentral lists this ribosomal RNA (332 nucleotides) under uncultured Desulfosalsimonas sp. RNAcentral's name for it is "bacterial SSU rRNA". It matches the Rfam family "Bacterial small subunit ribosomal RNA", at positions 568 to 898 of the family's 1533-position model. Lineage: Bacteria; Pseudomonadati; Thermodesulfobacteriota; Desulfobacteria; Desulfobacterales; Desulfosalsimonadaceae. The record is from RNAcentral.
CGUGUAGGCGGUCAGGUUAGUGGGACGUGAAAUGCCCCGGCUCACCCGGGGACCUGCGUCCCAAACUGCCUGGCUUGAGUAUGGGAGAGGAUGAGGGAAUUCCUGGUGUAGCGGUGAAAUGCGUAGAUAUCAGGAGGAACACCGGUGGCGAAGGCGCUCAUCUGGCCCAAUACUGACGCUGAGGCGCGAAAGCUAGGGGAGCAAACGGGAUUAGAUACCCCGGUAGUCCUAGCCGUAAACGGUGAUCACUAGGUGUUGGAGGCAUAGACCCCUCCAGUGCCGCAGCUAACGCACUAAGUGAUCCGCCUGGGGAGUACGGCCGCAAGGUUGAA